AGUGAACGCUGGCGGUAUGCCUAACACAUGCAAGUCGAGCGGCAGCACAGUAAGAGCUUUCUCUUACGGGUGGCGAGUGGCGGACGGGUGAGAAAUACAUCGGCAUCUACUUUUUCUUGGGGGAUAACGGGGGGAAACUUCCGCUAAUACCGCAUACGACCUACGGGUGAAAGCAAGGGAUCUUCGGACCUUGCGCGUUUCAAUGAGCCGAUGUCGCAUUAGCUAGUUGGCGGGGUAAAGGCCCACCAAGGCAACGAUGCGUAGCUGAUCUGAGAGGAUGAUCAGCCACACUGGAACUGAGACACGGUCCAGACUCCUACGGGAGGCAGCAGUGGGGAAUAUUGCGCAAUGGGCGCAAGCCUGACGCAGCCAUGCCGCGUGAGUGAAGAAGGUCUUCGGGUCGUAAAGCUCUGUUGUUAGGGAAGAAAAGAAGUAUAUUAAACCGUCGCUGUCCUGACGGUACCCAAAGAAUAAGCACCGGCUAACUUCGUG
RNAcentral lists this ribosomal RNA (492 nucleotides) under uncultured bacterium. RNAcentral describes it as "partial 16S ribosomal RNA". It matches the Rfam family "Bacterial small subunit ribosomal RNA", at positions 29 to 507 of the family's 1533-position model. The record is from RNAcentral.